AGUGAACGCUGGCGGUAGGCCUAACACAUGCAAGUCGAACGGCAGCACAGUAAGAGCUUGCUCUUACGGGUGGCGAGUGGCGGACGGGUGAGGAAUACAUCUGAAUCUACUUUUUCGUGGGGGAUAACGUAGGGAAACUUACGCUAAUACCGCAUACGACCUACGGUUGAAAGCAGGUGAUCUUCGGACCUUGCGCGAUUGAAUGAGCCGAUGUCGGAUUAGCUAGUUGGCGGGGUAAAGGCCCACCAAGUCGACGAUCCGUAGCUGGUCUGAGAGGAUGAUCAGCCACACUGGAACUGAGACACGGUCAAGACUCCUAAGGGAGGCAGAAGUGGGGAAUAUUGGACAAUGGGCGCAAGCCUGAUCCAGCCAUACCGCGUGGGUAAAGAAGGCCUUCGGGUUGUAAAGACCUUUUGUUGGGAAAGAAAAGCAGCAGGUUAAUAACACGAUGUUCUGACGGUACCAAAAGAAUAAGCACCGGCUAACUUCGUG
RNAcentral lists this ribosomal RNA (492 nucleotides) under uncultured bacterium. Its description in RNAcentral is "partial 16S ribosomal RNA". It matches the Rfam family "Bacterial small subunit ribosomal RNA", at positions 29 to 507 of the family's 1533-position model. The record is from RNAcentral.